GUUCCGCCCAGACUGUCCCAUAUGUUCAGCCAGGUAAAGAACCAGUUGAUCAGCCUUGUGUGAAGAAGAAAAAGGCAAAAUGGCGGCGGCGCGCUCGCAGGCCUGGGCAAAAAACCUCCUGGUUGGGUUGGCACCCCGAUGGCCCCCCGACCCGCCCAGGGCCUGGGUGCAGGCCAACGCCCGUCGGGCUCAGACCACCGCGGUGUUGGCCUCGGAUUAUGUUUGUGUACCUCAGUCUGUCCGAUUCCUGGAGUACGGAACCAAGAUGGAUCCUCCUCUCCUGACUGGUGGGAGGCCGAGUUCUUAAGUGGCCUCCGUGCAGGAAAGGCGCCGCACAACUGCAGCUGCUUGCUGUCCGGCUGGUCAGCGAAGGAGGAGCCCAACUGAACCUUCAAAGGUGUCUAACUACAAGGGAACAUUGAAUCUACCAGGACCAAGACACAGCCAGAAUCUUCUUCAUGAUGUAUGAAAAGAAGAAGGUUUGGGAAUCUGGCACAAAAAUUCCUCAUUCCACUACUAACGUGUCAUAUGAUCUUGUGAAAAGCAUCUUCACGUUGGUUGCUGAGCAUUAGUUCAUUAAAUAUAUAGGAAUACCCAGUUACUGUUUAGGGAAGAUAUUGACAUAUACAUGAAUAUAUAAUAACACACAUAGUAGUUGCACAGUAACUGGAUUCAACAGGCAGACUGAACACAGUGGGUCAGAUAAUUGGAUGCAGAGACAAAAAGAACCACAACUCAUUUGGAACAUAAUCAGGUUCCUUUCUGUCUCACCCCAGAGGCUAGUUGAUAGGGCUUAAGCAAACCCCACGGUGUUUCUCAUCCAAAAUCAUGGCACCAAAUGAGAGGGCUUAAAAAGAGAGGAUGGGGGUUAAGGGAGUAUGACACGGCGGUGUGGGGGAAGGGGAUGCCCAGACAGGCCCCUGUCCAGGCACCUCUUCUCCCUGAGGGACCACACACACACAGGCAUGGUACAGAAUAGAGUUUAUUCAGAAUAGGGGAUGGGAGUUAGUGGUAGAGAAAGGCAGAAAGAGAGAGAGAGUAGAGAAGUGGAGUGGAGGCCGGCCAUGACCAUGUGGAGAGAGGGGGGAGAAGAGCCCAAGGGGCAGAGAGGUGAGAGUAUGUGGGAUAAGGGAGAGAGAAAAAGAGGGAG
This is a long non-coding RNA of Apodemus sylvaticus (European woodmouse), 1150 nucleotides long. RefSeq lists it as uncharacterized. The record is from RefSeq and is a predicted model, not a curated record. NCBI's taxonomy places the organism in Eukaryota, Metazoa, Chordata, Mammalia, Rodentia, Muridae. The transcript has 3 exons.